Molecule: ribosomal RNA, 398 nt
Filed under: uncultured bacterium
Lineage: Bacteria
Description: partial 16S ribosomal RNA
Rfam family: Bacterial small subunit ribosomal RNA
Source: RNAcentral
AUACGUAGGGUGCGAGCGUUGUCCGGAAUUACUGGGCGCAAAGAGCUCGUAGGUGGUUUGUCGCGUCGCCUGUGAAAUUCCGGGGCUUAACUCCGGGCGUGCAGGCGAUACGGGCAUAACUUGAGUACUGUAGGGGAGACUGGAAUUCCUGGUGUAGCGGUGAAAUGCGCAGAUAUCAGGAGGAACACCGGUGGCGAAGGCGGGUCUCUGGGCAGUAACUGACGCUGAGGAGCGAAAGCAUGGGUAGCGAACAGGAUUAGAUACCCUGGUAGUCCAUGCCGUAAACGGUGGGCGCUAGGUGUAGGGGUCUUCCACGACUUCUGUGCCGUAGCUAACGCAUUAAGCGCCCCGCCUGGGGAGUACGGCCGCAAGGCUAAAACUCAAAGGAAUUGACGGGG